AUAACAAGCAGUAUCUUUGUUUUUAAUUGAAGUUUACAAAAAAUAUUAGAGAAGGAAAAUGGUGAAUGGUUCAAAUUGGACUGCGUAUUUACGAUCAUAUUUUUUUCACAAGUGAAAUAGAUUUAUUUUAAUGGGACCACAUGAAUUUGUAAGAGAUCUUCGACCUCUCGAAGAUUAAAUCGAUCAAUAAAUAAUGCUUCUCUUUGAGAAAAAUAAAUAGAAAAAAAAAAAAAGAGAUAGGGAUAAAUGUAAUCACAAGAAACUAUAAAUUCUCUCUUCGAAUAAAUCUUCUUCAACUCGGUAUAUUACGAAGUAUAUAAACAUCUUUAUCAGUUAUGUUAUACUCAGUCCACUUUCGAUGAAUACGAUGGAUUAUAUCAAUGAUAUUUCGUUCUUGAUGUCAGUUAUACGCCAGACGGCCAAGACGAUUGAUGUAUUCUCAUUGAUUCUCUUCUUCUUCUGAGUCUUGCUUCGUAAUCGAAAAUUCUUCAACGAUAUAAUAUCAUUUUAUUCUCCACGAUAUUUCGAUUUUUCUGCAGAAAAUGGCGAGCUUCGUAUGCUUGGAAGAUUACGAAAAAUAUGCGACUAACAAUCUGCCGCCAAUUGUAAGAGAUUAUUAUAAAAGUGGAGCCGGUGAAGAAUCUAGUUUACGAUGGAACAGAGAAGCUUUUAAGAGGUAUCGAAUAAAACCUAGAUUUCUUCGGGAUGUUUCAAAAAGAGACAUAAGCACGACAAUAUUAGGUGAAAAAAUUUCUAUGCCAUUGGGAGUAGCGCCAGCUGCAAUGCAACGCAUGGCUCACCCAGAUGGCGAAUGUGGUAAUGCUAAAGCUGCCGAAGCAAUGGGAACGAUCUUUACACUAUCGACCAUAUCAACCAGCAGUAUCGAAGAAGUCGCCGAGGUAGCACCGAAAUGUAUCAAGUGGUUUCAACUUUACGUUUAUAUCGAUCGAAACAUAACGUUGAAUUUAAUAAGACGAGCCGAGAAAGCUGGCUUUAAAGCACUCGUUCUUACAGUGGACGCGCCAAUUUUUGGCGACAGACGAGCCGAUUUGAGAAACAAAUUUUCACUUCCUAAACAUUUGAGAUUAGCUAAUUUCGAAGGAAUAUUGUCGAAUAAAAUAAACACAUCUAAAACAGGAUCAGGUUUAAACGAGUACGUUAGUGAUCUAUUCGAUCAAUCACUUUCUUGGGAAGAUGUUACAUGGCUCAAAAAUGUUACGAAAUUACCGAUCGUAUUGAAAGGUAUUUUAACUGCCGAAGAUGCACUUUUAAGCGUGAAGUAUGGAGCCGCCGCCAUUAUAGUUUCUAAUCAUGGUGCACGUCAAGUUGAUGGUGUUCCUGCCACGAUCGAAGUCUUAGCAGAGAUAGCGAAUGCGGUAAAGGAUAAAAUAGAAAUUUAUAUGGAUGGAGGGAUUAGACAAGGCAUUGACGUUUUUAAAGCUCUUGCUUUAGGUGCUAAUAUGGUAUUCAUAGGUAGACCGAUGUUAUGGGGUUUAUGUCAUGCUGGAGAAAAAGGUGCAUUAAAUAUUCUUGAUAUGAUGAAAAAAGAAAUCGAUCAAGUCAUCGCUUUGACAGGUUGUACGACCAUAAAGGAUGUCACCAGAGAUAUGGUCGUUCACGAGUCAUGUUACAGUCACUUGUGAUAUUGCCUUCCACACGAUAAAACAAUUUUACGACAAUUUAUUCGACAUUACGUAUACGACAAUAUUAUAUUAGACAAUAAUGGAAAAAGCAUAUGUUCGUUGUUUAUCAUUUUCGCAUAAGAAGACUUACUCUCCGGCACCUAUGGCAAGGCUCUCAUUGUUGCCUUUGAUGAAGUAAAGAUUGUCACCGGUCCAAUUGAAAGCUUGGAACCUUGGUGUAAACCUAAAGAGUAAAGACUCUCCUGUACCAUAAAAGUGAUCGCUCACGUGUAGAGCACAAGAAGUCAAUGCUCCAAACACCUGCAACAUCAAUUAUUAUUACCUGUUGUGUUUGUAUAAUAUAUAUACAUAAAAAUAUGAGAACAAAGAAGAUUCAACUUUUAACAGAUGUAAUAUUAACUCUAAUCAAAGAGUUCAAUAUCUAUGCGUGUGUAAGCGAUCACCUUUUAUAAAUUUCAUUUAUUUAAUACGUUUCAUAAUUCGAAUUAAAGAAAAAAUAGAAAGAAAAAUAUGAUACGGUAAAAAAUAUAUAAAUAUAUCUCGCACCAACAAAAAUAUAUAAUUUUUCAUCACUUUUGAAAUAAUCACAAUUACUAAUAAGAAACUUAAUUUCAUUUUUUGUUGAUCCAGUCAGAUUUUUUGAAACUUAUUUGUUUAUUAUUAAAAGGAAAAAAUAAUAAUAAAUAAAAUAAGAAAUUAAAAAGAAAAUUAAAAAAAAAAAAAUAAAUAAAUAAAGAAUAGAAAUUAGAUAAUACUUACGUUACCCUCGGUGUCCUCGAUAACAAGCAGAAUCGGGCUUUCAAUUUUGCCCAUUUUUCUGUACAUACUGUUUAGACUAAAGCCAUGUUGGCUCGUACUAAAUACCAACGUCCAAAGGUAGCCUUCCGCUCUCGCUGGUAAAUGUCUGCAUAAGUGUUCUCUGUGUUCGUCGCUGAGAAUCUCCGUCGUACCAACAAGAUCCGGUACAAUUAUGUCAUUGUCCAAGGAGACUGCGCUAUUCGCAUAUAGAGCUCUUCUAAGCUCCUCGCUCAUAGACAACACCUAUACGAAAUUAGAAAUAAAUCAUUUAUAGAUAUUCACGUAAAGAGGCACAAAGAAUGUAAAAACAUGGAUGAUAAAGCACAUCGUGCUUUUAUUAUGAAAAAUUGAUAACACGAAAAAAGAAACGAUUGGAAUCAGUUUUAUCGAGCACAUUGUCGAAUUUUCAUUUAUUCGUUUUUUUUAUUUAUAUUCGUAUAAAAAUAAUUAAUGAAAAUGUCAAAAUGAAAUUUUCAAUUUGAUCAAAUCUUGAUCAUACAAUUGUAUUUUUAUUUCGUUACGAUUGAAUAAAAUUUUACGAAGACUAUCGACAUAUUAUUCUCGCUAUAGAUAUAUAUUAUUUUUUCUAUUUUUUCUAUAUAAUUUUUAACGAGAAAUUGUAGAUAUUGUAUGUUAUUUUAAUCGAUCAAAAAUGUCCAUAUUCUUUUUCUCUUUACGCAAGAGAAUAAGGUAUAUAAUUAAUGAUUAAAAAAAUUUGAGUUGUUGACAAUGUAUUCGAUUAAACAGUCUUGAUCUUUCAAAAAUUACAUGAUGAUAUCGAUGAUUUCUAAUCCUAAUCUAAAUCUAAACAUAGCUAUAAACACUUAUGGCUAGGAAUCCAAACAUCGUGUUCUUCAUUUUGUUCUAGUUACAGUCGUUUGUAUGAAGGUAUAAAGAAGUUUCGUGUUUAUAAUGUAAAAUGUGCAAAUUCUUAGGGCGAUGCUGUGAUUAAAACGAUAUUUUCUUAAAUGAUAAUUAACAAAAAGGACAUUUAUUAAGAAGGAUGUAUGAUAAGCUAGAGGCGAAUAAAUUUCUUGAAUAAAUUGAUGAUAUAGAA
Vespula pensylvanica (western yellowjacket) is the source of this 3498-nucleotide RNA transcript. It is a transcript of the gene named peroxisomal (S)-2-hydroxy-acid oxidase GLO5, with no coding region annotated. The transcript is spliced from 10 exons. NCBI's taxonomy places the organism in Eukaryota, Metazoa, Arthropoda, Insecta, Hymenoptera, Vespidae. The record is from RefSeq and is a predicted model, not a curated record.